RNAcentral lists this ribosomal RNA (1433 nucleotides) under Bacillus subtilis. RNAcentral describes it as "16S ribosomal RNA". It matches the Rfam family "Bacterial small subunit ribosomal RNA". The record is from RNAcentral. Lineage: Bacteria; Bacillati; Bacillota; Bacilli; Caryophanales; Bacillaceae.
AGUCGAGCGGACAGAUGGGAGCUUGCUCCCUGAUGUUAGCGGCGGACGGGUGAGUAACACGUGGGUAACCUGCCUGUAAGACUGGGAUAACUCCGGGAAACCGGGGCUAAUACCGGAUGGUUGUUUGAACCGCAUGGUUCAAACAUAAAAGGUGGCUUCGGCUACCACUUACAGAUGGACCCGCGGCGCAUUAGCUAGUUGGUGAGGUAACGGCUCACCAAGGCAACGAUGCGUAGCCGACCUGAGAGGGUGAUCGGCCACACUGGGACUGAGACACGGCCCAGACUCCUACGGGAGGCAGCAGUAGGGAAUCUUCCGCAAUGGACGAAAGUCUGACGGAGCAACGCCGCGUGAGUGAUGAAGGUUUUCGGAUCGUAAAGCUCUGUUGUUAGGGAAGAACAAGUACCGUUCGAAUAGGGCGGUACCUUGACGGUACCUAACCAGAAAGCCACGGCUAACUACGUGCCAGCAGCCGCGGUAAUACGUAGGUGGCAAGCGUUGUCCGGAAUUAUUGGGCGUAAAGGGCUCGCAGGCGGUUUCUUAAGUCUGAUGUGAAAGCCCCCGGCUCAACCGGGGAGGGUCAUUGGAAACUGGGGAACUUGAGUGCAGAAGAGGAAGAGGGGGAAUUUCCCCGUUUAGGCGGGGAAAUUGGGUAGAGAUGGGGAAGGACCCCCCAGUGGGGAAGGGGACCUUUCCUGGUCUGUAAACUGACGCUGAGAGAACGAAAAGCGGGGGGAGCGAACAGGGAUUAGAUCCCCCUGGUAGUCCCCCCCGUAAACGAUGAGUGGUAAGUGUAGGGGGGUCUCCGCCCCUUAGUGCUGCAGCUAACGCAUUAAGCACUCCGCCUGGGGAGUACGGUCGCAAGACUGAAACUCAAAGGAAUUGGCGGGGGCCCGCACAAGCGGGGGAGCAUGUGGUUUAAUUCGAAGCAACGCGAAGAACCUUACCAGGUCUUGACAUCCUCUGACAAUCCUAGAGAUAGGACGUCCCCUUCGGGGGCAGAGUGACAGGUGGUGCAUGGUUGUCGUCAGCUCGUGUCGUGAGAUGUUGGGUUAAGUCCCGCAACGAGCGCAACCCUUGAUCUUAGUUGCCAGCAUUCAGUUGGGCACUCUAAGGUGACUGCCGGUGACAAACCGGAGGAAGGUGGGGAUGACGUCAAAUCAUCAUGCCCCUUAUGACCUGGGCUACACACGUGCUACAAUGGACAGAACAAAGGGCAGCGAAACCGCGAGGUUAAGCCAAUCCCACAAAUCUGUUCUCAGUUCGGAUCGCAGUCUGCAACUCGACUGCGUGAAGCUGGAAUCGCUAGUAAUCGCGGAUCAGCAUGCCGCGGUGAAUACGUUCCCGGGCCUUGUACACACCGCCCGUCACACCACGAGAGUUUGUAACACCCGAAGUCGGUGAGGUAACCUUUUAGGAGCCAGCCGCCGAAG